CUUCAACGAGCCCAAGUACAGCGGCUGUUCACGCUCCUGACCGUACGUCGCCAGCAGCGCCUGGGCCUC
Non-coding RNA from Streptomyces sp. DI166, 69 nucleotides. It matches the Rfam family "ASpks TB sRNA". NCBI's taxonomy places the organism in Bacteria, Bacillati, Actinomycetota, Actinomycetes, Kitasatosporales, Streptomycetaceae. The record is from Rfam.